AGCAGCCGCGGUAAUUCCAGCUCCAAUAGCGUAUAUUAAAGUUGUUGCAGUUAAAAGGCUCGUAGUUGAAUUUCGGGAUCAAUUUAUUGGUCGUGCAAUAGUACGUACUGGUAUUAUUGGUUCCUACCUUCUGAUGAACCAUGAUGUCAUUAAUUUGGUGUUAUGGGGAAUCAGGACUGUUACUUUGAAAAAUUAGAGUGUUUAAAGCAGGCUCACGCUUGAAUACAUUAGCAUGGAAUAAUGAAAUAGGACGUUUGAUUCUAUUUUGUUGGUUUCUAGGAUCGACGUAAUGAUUAAUAGGGAUAGUUGGGGGCAUUAGUAUUCAAUUGUCAGAGGUGAAAUUCUUGGAUUUUAUUGAAGACUAACUACUGCGAAAGCAUUUGCCAAGGAUGCUUUCAUUAAUCAAGAACGAAAGUUAGGGGAUCGAAGACGAUCAGAUACCGUCGUAGUCUUAACCAUAAACUAUGCCGACUAGGGAUCGGAUGAUGUUAAUUUUUAAUGA
This 502-nucleotide ribosomal RNA is filed under the name uncultured Glomus. RNAcentral describes it as "SSU rRNA". It matches the Rfam family "Eukaryotic small subunit ribosomal RNA", at positions 569 to 1074 of the family's 1831-position model. Lineage: Eukaryota; Fungi; Glomeromycota; Glomeromycetes; Glomerales; Glomeraceae. The record is from RNAcentral.